AGAGAUUACACCGUGCCCUAGUCCUCCAUCUCGCUGGCAACCGAGUACCACUGCCGGUGUUCUCCCGUGCCUGAGCUUCAUCUCCUCUUCAGAGUAAGGUUGUUCGGAUGAGGUAACAACAAGUGAUUUCAGCAGUGAUUCGGCAGUGUAAAUUUGAGGUUUCCAGCAGCAAUCAACCCUUGUUGGCAGUAACAAACCUUCAGUGGAUCAGUGAUACUUGCUGUGAAUUUAGGUUUAUCGGUUUGGGAGAUUGGCAAUUUAAUCUUGCUCCGACUGUUGAUUUACAGUAGCAAUGUUUCCAACCAGAUUUGGACAAGUUGUAGAGGACCUUGACGCGAGACGGAUAUCUCGGCGUCGGAAUUUGACCGGAUACGAUCCUUUCUAUUUUCGGAGGCGGGUACUUUUGACUUAUGUCAUUUGAUAUACAUAGUAGUGAAUUUAACAAGCUGCAUUAAUUAUGUCCUUUAUUUCUUUCGGUUAGUCA
This is a long non-coding RNA of Zingiber officinale, 484 nucleotides long. RefSeq lists it as uncharacterized. The transcript is spliced from 3 exons. Lineage: Eukaryota; Viridiplantae; Streptophyta; Magnoliopsida; Zingiberales; Zingiberaceae. The record is from RefSeq and is a predicted model, not a curated record.